RNAcentral lists this ribosomal RNA (253 nucleotides) under uncultured microorganism. RNAcentral describes it as "partial 16S ribosomal RNA". It matches the Rfam family "Bacterial small subunit ribosomal RNA", at positions 524 to 776 of the family's 1533-position model. The record is from RNAcentral.
UACGGAGGGUGCGAGCGUUAUUCGGAAUCACUGGGCGUAAAGGGCGCGUAGGCGGCCUGGUAAGUCAGGGGUGAAAUCCCACGGCUCAACCGUGGAACUGCCUUUGAUACUGCAAGGCUUGAGUCAGGUAGAGGAGGGCGGAAUUCCCGGUGUAGCGGUGAAAUGCGUAGAUAUCAGGAGGAACACCGGUGGCGAAGGCGGCCGCCUGGACAGGUAUCGACGCUGAGGCGCGAAAGCGUGGGUAGCAAACAGG